UGGGGAAUAUUGCACAAUGGGGGAAACCCUGAUGCAGCGACGCCGCGUGAGCGAAGAAGGUUUUCGAAUCGUAAAGCUCUGUCCUAUGAGAAGAUAAUGACGGUAUCAUAGGAGGAAGCUCCGGCUAAAUACGUGCCAGCAGCCGCGGUAAUACGUAUGGGGCGAUCGUUGUCCGGAAUUAUUGGGCGUAAAGGGUACGUAGGCGGUCUAUUAAGGCAGGUGUGAAAGCGUGAGGCUUAACCUCAUUAAGCACUUGAAACUGAUAGACUUGAGUGAAGGAGAGGAAAGUGGAAUUCCUAGUGUAGCGGUGAAAUGCGUAGAUAUUAGGAGGAAUACCGGUGGCGAAGGCGACUUACUGGACUAUUACUGACGCUCAGGUACGAAAGCGUGGGGAGCAAACAGG
Molecule: ribosomal RNA, 403 nt
Filed under: Verrucomicrobiota bacterium
Lineage: Bacteria; Pseudomonadati; Verrucomicrobiota
Description: Verrucomicrobia bacterium partial 16S ribosomal RNA
Rfam family: Bacterial small subunit ribosomal RNA
Source: RNAcentral